CGCUUGCGGCCAUGUUCUUUUCCGACACCAAAGAGUUGCUUAAUUUCACAGAGUUGUCUUGAUCUUUUUUUUCCCUACUGUUGACACUCUGAAGUCUACUGAAAGAAGUGAAGGGUGGACUGUCUUUACGCUCUUCUUACGGGCAUGCCGCACUCAUUACCCCAACUGCUCUACAUGGAAACAAGUGAAUUUGAACGAAGUGAGAGAAUCUGUCUCUGAAACUGACUCAUGAAAAAAGGUUGCAAGCAUGAAGUUGGUUUUCCUCCAUUUAGUUAGAUCUUCGUGUUGAAUCCUGAAUACGGUUGAGUCUUUAAUUGUGGCACGUGUUAAUGGAAGGAAACCCUUCACUUCGAGCUGGCUGGUUUGGAACUGCUCUACUGUGUACUGCUGAGGUAAACCAAUCUGAAAGAGCAGUUAUGUGGGUUUUGCACUAUUUUUUUGUACAUAAAAUAAUUGAGUUAGUGUUUAUUUUUCUCUGUCCAGUUUUUCUUAUUUUUGAAAGGACCAAAACAUGACCGUACCUAUGGUUAUCUAUGUAAUUUGCCAAUUAUGCCGAUAGCGUCACUCUCAGAUUUGUUUUCAAUGUCAGGUUAAUGAUACUAUGAUAUAUUUAUAUAUUUGAAAACAAAUAUGUACUUUUAAUUUCAACAAUCUAUUAAAAUGAAUACCUUUUAAUGUAAUUCUAUGGAAUAGAAUAACUCCCUAAUGUCAAAACUAUGGUUGUGCAUAAUGAUCCAUCACCCACACAUGAGAACAAACAUUUUCUGGUUCUGUGUUGAACAUGCCCCUCCCAAAUUCAAACUGCAGGAGGGUCACCGCCUCUUGGCGGCCUGCCGGUUCUUUAUUCAAAGUCGCAUCUCGACUUUCAAGUGCUUCAGUUUGCAACAUAUAUGGUCUCAAUGGUCUCUUAUUGCACAUUGAAGGAUGCAUGAUAUUAAGUGUUUACAAACUUGAAACAACCAUGUAUUAUGUCUGUCUGUUCUGGCAUUUGUAUUUACCACCAUGUUGAACAAAAAUGAAGUUCUCAUCACGCGUCAGAAGUUGUCCCAUUUUCAUUCGAUCAUGCCAAUUGUGUAAGUGUGAAAAAUGUAUAUUUUAUUGGUACAUCGGUUUAUGUUACUGUUUGCUUUGUGGAAACUCUUGCUUUCCCUGCACUGUAGAAAGCUCACAGCACCGUGCAGGAGAGCUCAGGGGUUUCUCUGUCGCCAUACUUCCAUCUGUCUGUCUUCUGGGAUGAAUAUCUGUGGUUUGCAGUAUUUUCUCAUAGUAGGCAAUUUUUGUACAGUUUUAUUAAAAUAAAUUUCACAUGGAUGUCUGGCUUAAUCUGCUGCCACAAACAAUCUAGACUGUAGAUACAGUAUAUAUAGAUAUUAUUGUGCAAUGGAAAAUAAAUGUAAAACCCAAAUCAUAACAUGUUUUGUCUCGUAUUUUCUGUUGUGUAUGUAUAUAUUAAAUAAAUUAAUGCUUUACUUUAUUC
This is a long non-coding RNA of Gasterosteus aculeatus aculeatus (three-spined stickleback), 1477 nucleotides long. The record is from Ensembl. NCBI's taxonomy places the organism in Eukaryota, Metazoa, Chordata, Actinopteri, Perciformes, Gasterosteidae.